This 253-nucleotide ribosomal RNA is filed under the name uncultured bacterium. RNAcentral's name for it is "partial 16S ribosomal RNA". It matches the Rfam family "Bacterial small subunit ribosomal RNA", at positions 524 to 776 of the family's 1533-position model. The record is from RNAcentral.
UACGUAGGGUGCAAGCGUUGCCCGGAUUUAUUGGGCGUAAAGGGCGCGUAGGCGGCUCGGCACGUCCGUUGUGAAAUCGCCCGGCUCAACUGGGCGGGGUCGGCGGAUACGGCCGAGCUAGAGCGAGCUAGGGGGUAAUGGAAUUCCCGGUGUAGUGGUGGAAUGCGUAGAUAUCGGGAGGAACACCAGUGGCGAAGGCGGCUUCCUGGCCUGUUCUUGACGCUGAGGCGCGAAAGCUAGGGGAGCAAACGGG